Molecule: ribosomal RNA, 440 nt
Filed under: uncultured bacterium
Lineage: Bacteria
Description: partial 16S ribosomal RNA
Rfam family: Bacterial small subunit ribosomal RNA
Source: RNAcentral
CCUACGGGAGGUAGCAGUAGGGAAUCUUGCGCAAUGGGCGAAAGCCUGACGCAGCAACGCCGCGUGAACGAGACGCCCUUCGGGGUGGAAAGUUCUGUCUGUGGGGAAGAAAAAUGACGGUACCCACUGAGGAAGCACCGGCUAACUCCGUGCCAGCAGCCGCGGUAAUACGGAGGGUGCAAGCGUUGUCCGGAAUCAUUGGGCGUAAAGAGUUCGUAGUUGGCAUGUAAAGUCAGAUGUUAAAGGCGUGGGUUCAACCUGUGUAUGGCACUUGAUACUUUCAAGCUGGAAUGCGGUAGAGGUAAAGGGAAUUCCUGGUGUAGCGGUGAAAUGCUUAGAUAUCAGGAGGAACAUCGGUGGCGUAAGCGCUUUACUGGGCCGUAAUUGACGCUGAGGAACGAAAGCCAGGGUAGCAAAUGGGAUUAGAUACCCCUGUAGUC